AGACGGGGGGGGCUAGCGUUGUUCGGAAUCACUGGGCGUAAAGGACGCGUAGGCGGGUUGGCAAGUCAGAUGUGAAAUCCUACAGCUUAACUGUAGAACUGCAUUUGAAACUGCUAACCUAGAGUAUGGGAGGGGGAGAUGGAAUUAGUGGUGUAGGGGUAAAAUCCGUAGAUAUCACUAGGAAUACCGAAAGCGAAGGCGAUCUCCUGGAACAUAACUGACGCUAAGGCGUGAAAGCGUGGGGAGCAAACAGGAUUAGAUACCCUAGUAGUCC
This 274-nucleotide ribosomal RNA is filed under the name uncultured bacterium. RNAcentral describes it as "partial 16S ribosomal RNA". It matches the Rfam family "Bacterial small subunit ribosomal RNA", at positions 523 to 796 of the family's 1533-position model. The record is from RNAcentral.